UUCUAAUAAAUCUAAUAACAAACAUCCUAUCAUUAAUGACUCCUUUAAAAUCAACAUCCUAUCUUUUUUUAUGAUGGUGGUGAGAUGGGUAAGAACACUAUUUGAUAUGUAGUAUGAUAGGAGAAGGUGACCACCGGUGUUGGUUCAUCCACUGCUGUUGAUGCUUCCAUUGUGGCCAUCCACAUAGUCUCUUUAUGUUCCGUUGUGAUGACAACACACCAUGAAACAUCAAAAGGCGUGUAUGUUUAAUAGACGGUAAAUCUUCUAUUUCCCUCGUAAAGGUAACCGACGACAACAAGAAGGUCAUGGCCGACAAUGCUUCGUGACUUACGAAAGAGCUGGUGUAGAUGUCGCUGAAGAAUACUCUUAUGUAGGGUAGAAGAUUGUUCUAUUUUUUUUUUUGUAUUUUAUGGUGUUGCUGAGUUUGGUGUAGAGGCAUGGUAGAAGGUUGUUCUAGUGUUGGUAUUAUAGAGAUUAACAUGAUUUUGUUUUCUCGAUGUACAUAUGGGUCACCAUCAUUUUUUGUGUGGUUUUGGGACCUAAGAUGAUAGUAGGGAUAAGUGUUGAGAGUGUGUGUCAUAGAUUUGAGAUGAUGGAGAAAUAGGUUGUGAUUGUUUAUGAGAAUAUCCUUACCUCUAACACAUGGCAGAAAAGGGAAGUUCUUGAGUUCCUUUUUGCGAUUAAAGGAUAUUUAAAGGAUAAAAGUAUUAUAUCAUGAUAUUUUUUCCUAUGUUUUCUAUGCAUUUUUCUCUCUAGUACUGGAGAGUAUCUUAACAUCUGAUACAUAUCACACUCAAAUUUGUA
This is a non-coding RNA of Lupinus albus (white lupine), 804 nucleotides long. The record is from the annotation of a GenBank genome assembly. Lineage: Eukaryota; Viridiplantae; Streptophyta; Magnoliopsida; Fabales; Fabaceae.